Molecule: unclassified non-coding RNA, 272 nt
Filed under: plant metagenome
Description: partial contains small subunit ribosomal RNA, internal transcribed spacer 1, and 5.8S ribosomal RNA
Source: RNAcentral
UUUCCGUAGGUGAACCUGCGGAAGGAUCAUUAAUGAGUUGUCAUGGGGUUCGAUGCUGGCAGCCAGUUUUUGGAUGCAUGUGCUUGCCCUAACAAUCAUCUUCUUCCAAACACCUGUGCACAUUUUUGAGGGUGUCUUGAGUUGGUUGCCGCUCUUGGGUGAUUUUCUCACAUUCCCUUAAAUCAUUAUACGCUAUUAACAAUGUUGAACGUGCUCUGUGCCGCAAGGCCAUUAAUAUAAUACAACUUUUAACAACGGAUCUCUUGGCUCUC